Molecule: ribosomal RNA, 1107 nt
Filed under: Intestinibacter bartlettii
Lineage: Bacteria; Bacillati; Bacillota; Clostridia; Peptostreptococcales; Peptostreptococcaceae
Description: partial 23S ribosomal RNA
Rfam family: Bacterial large subunit ribosomal RNA
Source: RNAcentral
AAGACGCGCGGAAGAACCUUUGUUAAGGAACUCGGCAAAAUAAUCCCGUAAGUUAGCGAGAAGGGAUGCCUAAGAAAUUAGGUCGCAGAGAAUAGGCCCAAGCGACUGUUUACCAAAAACACAAGUAUCUGCUAAAUCGAAAGAUGAAGUAUAGGUGCUGACACCUGCCCGGUGCUGGAAGGUCAAGGGGACUUGUUAGAGCAAUCGAAGCAACGAACUUAAGCCCCAGUAAACGGCGGCCGUAACUAUAACGGUCCUAAGGUAGCGAAAUUCCUUGUCGGGUAAGUUCCGACCCGCACGAAAGGUGUAACGAUUUGGGCGCUGUCUCAACAAAGGAUCCGGUGAAAUUGUAGUAGUCGUGAAGAUGCGACUUACCCACGGUAGGACGGAAAGACCCCGUGGAGCUUUACUGCAGGUUGACAUUGAAUUUUGGGAUUAAAUGUACAGGAUAGGUGGGAGACUAAGAAGCAAGCUCGCCAGAGUUUGCAGAGUCACUGUUGGGAUACCACCCUUUUAAUUCUAAAGUUCUAACUAGUUGCCAUGAAACUGGUAAUAGGACACUGUCAGUCGGGCAGUUUGACUGGGGCGGUCGCCUCCAAAAAAGUAACGGAGGCGUUCAAAGGUUCGCUCAGAAUGGUUGGAAAUCAUUCAAAGAGUACAAAGGCAAAAGCGAGCUUAACUGCGAGACAAACAGGUCGAGCAGAGACGAAAGUCGGACUUAGUGAUCCGGUGGUACCGAGUGGAAGGGCCAUCGCUCAACGGAUAAAAGCUACCCCGGGGAUAACAGGCUUAUCUCCCCCAAGAGUCCACAUCGACGGGGAGGUUUGGCACCUCGAUGUCGGCUCGUCUCAUCCUGGAGCUGGAGUAGGUUCCAAGGGUUGGGCUGUUCGCCCAUUAAAGAGGCACGCGAGCUGGGUUCAGAACGUCGUGAGACAGUUCGGUCCCUAUCCACCGUGGGCGUGAGAAAUUUGAGAGGAUCUGUCCUUAGUACGAGAGGACCGGGAUGGACAGACCGCUGGUGUACGAGUUGUACUGCCAAGUGCACAGCUCGGUAGCUACGUCUGGGAAGGAUAAGUGCUGAAGGCAUCUAAGCACGAAACCAACCUC